AGUCCUGACGAGUCCCAAAUAAAACGAAACACGCGUCCUGAAU
Molecule: non-coding RNA, 43 nt
Filed under: Schistosoma mansoni
Lineage: Eukaryota; Metazoa; Platyhelminthes; Trematoda; Strigeidida; Schistosomatidae
Source: RNAcentral